UACGGAGGGUGCGAGCGUUAAUCGGAAUUACUGGGCGUAAAGGGUGCGUAGGUGGUUGUAUAAGUUAUCUGUGAAAUCCCUGGGCUUAACCUGGGAAGGUCAGAUGAUACUGUUCGACUAGAGUAUGGGAGAGGGUAGUGGAAUUUCCGGUGUAGCGGUGAAAUGCGUAGAUAUCGGAAGGAACACCGGUGGCGAAGGCGGCUACCUGGCCUAAUACUGACACUGAGGCACGAAAGCGUGGGGAGCAAACAGG
RNAcentral lists this ribosomal RNA (253 nucleotides) under uncultured bacterium. RNAcentral's name for it is "partial 16S ribosomal RNA". It matches the Rfam family "Bacterial small subunit ribosomal RNA", at positions 524 to 776 of the family's 1533-position model. The record is from RNAcentral.